This 31-nucleotide ribosomal RNA is filed under the name uncultured Cortinarius. RNAcentral's name for it is "partial 18S ribosomal RNA". Lineage: Eukaryota; Fungi; Basidiomycota; Agaricomycetes; Agaricales; Cortinariaceae. The record is from RNAcentral.
GGUNCGUAGGUGACCUGCGGAAGGAUCAUUA